GCGCCCCGCCCGCCGCCGCUGCGGUGGGAGCCGGGAGCGGCCGAGGAUGGCGGCGGCUCCGGCGGCUCGGGAGCUCACGCAGAACCCGCUGCAGAAGACGUGGGAGCCCUACGACAACGGGCUGCCCGCGGGGCACAGCGCGCAGCGCGGCGUAUGUAUGACCAACUGCCCUACUCUGAUUGUCAUGGUGGGCCUCCCAGCAAGAGGAAAAACCUACAUCUCCAAGAAGCUGACACGCUACUUAAAUUGGAUUGGAGUGCCCACGAAAGAGUUUAAUGUUGGUCAGUAUCGUCGAGAUUUGGUGAAAAAGUACAAAUCCUUUGAAUUCUUCCUGCCUGACAAUGAAGAAGGUUUGAAAAUCAGGAGGCAGUGUGCCUUGGCCGCGCUGAACGACGUCCGGCAGUACCUCAGCGAGGAGAACGGGCACGUGGCUGUCUUUGAUGCUACAAACACAACUCGUGAACGUAGAGAAACUAUUUAUAAAUUUGGUGAGGAAAAUGGAUAUAAGACCUUUUUUGUGGAGUCUGUAUGUGUUGAUCCAGAGGUCAUUGCUGCAAACAUUGUGCAAGUGAAGUUGGGCAGUCCUGACUAUGUGGAUUGUAGUAAUGAUGAAGCAACAGAAGACUUCAUGAAAAGAAUAGAGUGCUACAAGAACUCGUAUGAGACCUUAGAUGAAACUCUGGACAAGGAUCUUUCUUACAUUAAAAUUAUGGAUGUUGGAAGGAGUUACCUGGUGAACAGAGUGAUGGAUCACAUCCAGAGCCGGAUUGUCUACUACCUCAUGAAUAUCCACGUGACUCCUCGGUCAAUCUACCUCUGCCGCCACGGAGAGAGCGAGCUCAACCUCAAGGGGAGAAUAGGAGGAGAUCCUGGGCUGUCUGUCAGGGGCAAGGAAUUUGCCAAAAGCUUGUCACAGUUUAUUAAUGAGCAAAAUAUCAAAGAUCUGAAAGUUUGGACCAGCCAGAUGAAAAGGACAAUUCAGACUGCUGAAGCCUUGGGAGUGCCUUAUGAGCAGUGGAAGGUUUUGAAUGAGAUAGAUGCAGGAGUGUGUGAAGAAAUGACAUAUGAAGAAAUACAGGAAAAUUAUCCUCUUGAAUUUGCACUGAGAGACCAAGACAAAUACAGAUACAGAUACCCUAAAGGAGAGUCCUAUGAAGAUCUUGUUCAGAGGCUGGAGCCAGUAAUUAUGGAGCUCGAAAGGCAGGAGAAUGUGCUUGUCAUUUGUCACCAAGCCGUCAUGCGCUGCCUGCUCGCAUAUUUCCUUGACAAGCCUGCAGAACAACUGCCCUACCUGAAGUGCCCACUGCAUACCGUCCUAAAGCUAACCCCCGUGGCUUAUGGAUGUAAAGUAGAAUCUAUAUUUCUGAAUGUCGAAGCUGUAAACACACACAGAGAUAAACCUGAGAAACCUUGGUGUGGUGUUCAUGGUGGAAAAUGGGGAUUUACCCAAGGCUGAUGACAGAGGAAAGGGCUGAUGUGGAUGUAGCAGAACUGAAUGUAGGUGUGAAUAGGUCGAGAGAAGAAGCUUUGAGGACAGUCCCCACCCACCUAUAGCUGCAGCUCCCGGGGCAGCAGCCCUUCCUCCAGCAGCUCAGGGCCCCGCGGUGUCGGAGCAGGGCGGGAUGGACGCGCCUCCCCUUCCCUUCCAGACAUUUCGAAUGUGAUUCUGCUCCUUUGGACAAAACCUGUGCUCGUGGAUAACUCCAAAGCCACAUUUAAUACGUACAUCAGGAAACAGUACAGAAAGGUUAGGUGAGUUUAACCAUUCUAACAGCUCAUGCAACAAAAACACCAGGUAAAUUCUGAAAUAAUUUUAAGAAGGCACACCUGCCUUGGAGUUUUUUGUAUUGUUUUUAAGCACCUUCCAUCAUCCUAGUUCUUCGUUGCUCUUUUAUGCCUAGUGAAACUCCAGUGCUAAAAAUGGAAUUUUCUGUGUCUGUCAAGGUCACAACCUUUUAACUGUACUAAAUCAAAGUGUAUUUUGUAUGUGUGUUACCAGACAACUGAAGUGAGCUGCCAGCACUGCUGCUGGCUCUAGCUCUGCAAUGAGAACUAUUCUUUGGUAGUUGAACUGUGUUUUUUCUAAGGAUUCUCUCCAAUUAAUUGAGCUUUUACCAUGUGAAUUGGUGGGGUUGUUUUGUUGUUUUGGCUUUUUUUCUUUCCUGAAUUCCUGUGUGAAAUACUAGGCCCUGGUAACAUAGUUUUGCAGGCAAGGGCUAAAUUGUCUUUUGUUUGUGCAGGGUCUAUAAAAUAAUGUGCUGCUGUUGUGAUUACUUUUUUUUUUUAAAUAAGCUAAAUUCAGCAAUAUAUUCAGCUCUGGAAGUAAGCCAUAGUGCAUUGCUGGGUUCUGUUUCAGAGGAGGAAUGUGUAGGGUGCACAAUGACCAGGAACACUUGCUUCAAGCGCUGCUGUCUAAAGCUUUGUGUGUGUGUGUGUGUUAUGGUAAUGGCAUUUCAGACCUUUAUUAAUUCAGCUGUGCCCAUAGUUGUGGGGUGAGGAGAGAGCCUGCCUGGCAUUGCUCAGAGGAGUGAAUUCAUUGAUGUGUGGCUAACAAGGCCACCUUUGUGGCACAACUGAAGGGCAAUUUCCCCUCCCACGGUGGUGUGGGAAAGCUGGGCUGUGCCCCAGGCAGCCCUCACUCCUCUGCUGGGACAGCAGGGGUGGUUAAACAGUUUUUACACUGAGAAUGUCAGGAUUUAUCUGUAAAAAUCCCAGGGGGCUGCAUUAGAAAAGGGGGAUUGUGAGCUCAGACCUGGCUGAAGAAGUGUGGGCAGAAAUGUGUCCCCCAGUGAGAGCUGAGCCCGGGGUUUCUUCUCUUUGCUGGUGAGCACAGCUUGAAGUGUCUCCUUUCCCCCUUUGUUUUACCUCUCUGAUCUGUCAGAGGUGUAACAUCCUCGAGGCUACAUGUUCUAUGUACAGUAGGUAUUUUUUUAGCCUGUUCUCAAAUAUACUGUGAUGAGUGUUUUACUGCAAUGGGUGUUCAGUAAAAAGAGUUGUAUAGAAGUGUAAAUAAACUAUUGUGCUGAUACUUGAAGAGGGAAAAAAAAAAAAAAAAAGCUGUUGGUUCUACGGUAGGAAGGUAGUAAAUCAGUGACUGCAUCUGACCCUGGCUGGAGAGAGCAGGUGUAGAUGAUGAAUGUAGAUUUGAGCUGAAUGUAGAGUUGGAGUGAUGGGUUCUCCCAGGGUGUAACCCUAACUGCUGUUCUGGGAAGGCACAGUUAAGAAUUGCAGUUAAUUGUCACUUCUGUAAGUGUGUCCCCCCCUCCUGACAGAACAGUCACUAACAGGGGAGGGGAAGACCCUUGUCCUGACCUUCUGUGUUUGUUCCAUUUGACUGCCUCUGUUCUGUGUGUGCCUGGCUCAGAUGCAGUCUCUCGACUGGGAUUAAACCGUCCUUUCUUACAUCGUUGGCCUUUGUUGUGAUCUUUCAGACAAAUGUAAUCAUUUGCCCUUUGAUCCAAGUAAUAAAGAUCAAAUGCUACAA
This is an RNA transcript of Haemorhous mexicanus (house finch), 3484 nucleotides long. It is a transcript of the gene named 6-phosphofructo-2-kinase/fructose-2,6-bisphosphatase 4, with no coding region annotated. Lineage: Eukaryota; Metazoa; Chordata; Aves; Passeriformes; Fringillidae. The transcript is spliced from 16 exons. The record is from RefSeq and is a predicted model, not a curated record.